AAGUCGUAACAAGGUUUCCGUAGGUGAACCUGCGGAAGGAUCAUUACCGAUUUUAGCGAACCUGGUCGCUUUUGACCAAGGUUUCGCGAAACUUGUAUUUUAAAACCCACACUUUUAUAAAAUUUUAUUGUAUCAAUUAUGAUAAUAAAGAUCACUUUCAACAACGGAUCUCUUGGCUCUC
This 181-nucleotide unclassified non-coding RNA is filed under the name fungal sp. Its description in RNAcentral is "partial internal transcribed spacer region". The stretch from base 1 to 46 matches the Rfam family "Eukaryotic small subunit ribosomal RNA", at positions 1786 to 1831 of the family's 1831-position model. The record is from RNAcentral. Lineage: Eukaryota; Fungi.